RNAcentral lists this ribosomal RNA (452 nucleotides) under uncultured bacterium. Its description in RNAcentral is "bacterial SSU rRNA". It matches the Rfam family "Bacterial small subunit ribosomal RNA", at positions 340 to 786 of the family's 1533-position model. The record is from RNAcentral.
UACGGAAGGCAGCAGUGGGGAAUAUUGCACAAUGGGCGCAAGCCUGAUGCAGCCAUGCCGCGUGUAUGAAGAAGGCCUUCGGGUUGUAAAGUACUUUCAGUCGUGAGGAAGGUGUUAAGGUUAAUAACCUUAGCAAUUGACGUUAGCGACAGAAGAAGCACCGGCUAACUCCGUGCCAGCAGCCGCGGUAAUACGGAGGGUGCGAGCGUUAAUCGGAAUUACUGGGCGUAAAGGGCACGUAGGCGGUUAAUUAAGUUGGAUGUGAAUCCCGGGCUUAACCUGGGAAUGGCAUUCAAGACUGGUUAGCUAGAGUCUUGUAGAGGGGGUAGAAUUCCAUGUGUAGCGGUGAAAUGCGUAGAGAUGUGGAGGAAUACCGGUGGCGAAGGCGGCCCCUGGACAAAGGCUGACGCUCAUGUGCGAAAGCGUGGGGAGCGAAACAGGGAUUAGAUACC